UGUGAACGUUACCAAACUGUUGCCUCGGCGGGAUCUCUGCCCCGGGUGCGUCGCAGCCCCGGACCAAGGCGCCCGCCGGAGGACCAACCAAAACUCUUUUUGUAUACCCCCUCGCGGGUUUUUUAUAAUCUGAGCCUUCUCGGCGCCUCUCGUAGGCGUUUCGAAAAUGAAUCAAAACUUUCAACAACGGAUCUCUUGGUUCUGGCAUCGAUGAAGAACGCAGCGAAAUGCGAUAAGUAAUGUGAAUUGCAGAAUUCAGUGAAUCAUCGAAUCUUUGAACGCACAUUGCGCCCGCCAGUAUUCUGGCGGGCAUGCCUGUCCGAGCGUCAUUUCAACCCUCGAACCCCUCCGGGGGGUCGGCGUUGGGGAUCGGCCCUCCCUUAGCGGGUGGCCGUCUCCGAAAUACAGUGGCGGUCUCGCCGCAGCCUCUCCUGCGCAGUAGUUUGCACACUCGCAUCGGGAGCGCGGCGCGUCCACAGCCGUUAAACACCCAACUUCUGAAAUG
This 505-nucleotide unclassified non-coding RNA is filed under the name Trichoderma harzianum. RNAcentral describes it as "partial contains 18S rRNA, ITS1, 5.8S rRNA, ITS2 and 28S RNA". The stretch from base 176 to 329 matches the Rfam family "5.8S ribosomal RNA". The record is from RNAcentral. Lineage: Eukaryota; Fungi; Ascomycota; Sordariomycetes; Hypocreales; Hypocreaceae.